RNAcentral lists this ribosomal RNA (497 nucleotides) under uncultured bacterium. RNAcentral's name for it is "partial 16S ribosomal RNA". It matches the Rfam family "Bacterial small subunit ribosomal RNA", at positions 28 to 507 of the family's 1533-position model. The record is from RNAcentral.
GAUGAACGCUGGCGGCGUGCCUAAUACAUGCAAGUCGAGCGAACAGACGAGGAGCUUGCUCCUCUGACGUUAGCGGCGGACGGGUGAGUAACACGUGGAUAACCUACCUAUAAGACUGGGAUCACUUCGGGAAACCGGAGCUAAUACCGGAUAAUAUAUUGAACCGCAUGGUUCAAUAGUGAAAGACGGUUUUGCUGUCACUUAUAGAUGGAUCCGCGCCGCAUUAGCUAGUUGGUAAGGUAACGGCUUACCAAGGCAACGAUGCGUAGCCGACCUGAGAGGGUGAUCGGCCACACUGGAACUGAGACACGGUCCAGACUCCUACGGGAGGCAGCAGUAGGGAAUCUUCCGCAAUGGGCGAAAGCCUGACGGAGCAACGCCGCGUGAGUGAUGAAGGUCUUCGGAUCGUAAAACUCUGUUAUUAGGGAAGAACAAAUGUGUAAGUAACUAUGCACGUCUUGACGGUACCUAAUCAGAAAGCCACGGCUAACUACGUG